UAGGGAAUCUUCGGCAAUGGGGGCAACCCUGACCGAGCAACGCCGCGUGAGUGAAGAAGGUUUUCGGAUCGUAAAGCUCUGUUGUAAGAGAAGAACGUGUGUGAGAGUGGAAAGUUCACACAGUGACGGUAACUUACCAGAAAGGGACGGCUGACUACGUGCCAG
RNAcentral lists this ribosomal RNA (165 nucleotides) under uncultured bacterium. RNAcentral's name for it is "partial 16S rRNA". It matches the Rfam family "Bacterial small subunit ribosomal RNA", at positions 355 to 511 of the family's 1533-position model. The record is from RNAcentral.